RNAcentral lists this ribosomal RNA (239 nucleotides) under uncultured Lactobacillus sp. Its description in RNAcentral is "partial 16S ribosomal RNA". It matches the Rfam family "Bacterial small subunit ribosomal RNA", at positions 123 to 355 of the family's 1533-position model. The record is from RNAcentral. Lineage: Bacteria; Bacillati; Bacillota; Bacilli; Lactobacillales; Lactobacillaceae.
AACCUGCCCCAUAGUCUGGGAUACCACUUGGAAACAGGUGCUAAUACCGGAUAAGAAAGCAGAUCGCAUGAUCAGCUUUUAAAAGGCGGCGUAAGCUGUCGCUAUGAGAUGGCCCCGCGGUGCAUUAGCUAGUUGGUAAGGUAAAGGCUUACCAAGGCGAUGAUGCAUAGCCGAGUUGAGAGACUGAUCGGCCACAUUGGGACUGAGACACGGCCCAAACUCCUACGGAGGCAGCAGCU